GUUGUAAUGUAUUAUGGUUGGCAAAAACUCAGGUUUUAUUUUAAUUGCUUUGGCUGAUAGGAAAUAGUUUGAAAACUCAGGUUUUUAGUUUAUCCAGAGUAAAACUAGUCAAUACUGGGUGAGAUGAAUUACUAGUACCAGGUAUGAAUCUUUAAGAAGAUUCCGUGAUCAAUUACAGAUUCUAAAAAUAAUAAGUAUAUAUAAGGCAUAAUUUUUAGGUCACCUGCCAACCAACAAAGCUGACAUGGCUAAAAAAAAAAGAACAUGACCCUGGAUAAUUUGCAAUAUAUAUUGAAAUUGCUAGUCAAAUGUCUUUUUAUAGCAGUGGCGAUAAUUAUUUUGAUAAUUUGAGCAAAAACUAAAUAAGAUGGACAGUAACUACAGACAAAAUAAAAUCAGCAGUAUAAUAUCAACAAAAUACUGGAGAUUGUUAAAUGAUAUAUACACACAGACCUAGAUAUGAGCAGACACAGGCUCUUCAGAACCUUUAGUUUAAUUUAUAAAUUUUCUCAUACGACACUCAUAAUUAUUUACCGUUUCAAUUUGAGAAAGUUUCAGUCAACCAACACAAAAGACAUACAUGAAGCCACAUAGCAUAGAUACAUUUUUUAUAGAUCAGUCAAACAGUUAACAUGCAGCCAAAGAAUCCAUUUUUAGCUCACCUGUCCCGAAGGGACAAGUGAGCUUAUGCCAUCACUUGGCGUCCGUCGUCGUCUGUCGUC
This 722-nucleotide long non-coding RNA is filed under the name Mytilus galloprovincialis (Mediterranean mussel). The record is from RNAcentral. Lineage: Eukaryota; Metazoa; Mollusca; Bivalvia; Mytilida; Mytilidae.